RNAcentral lists this long non-coding RNA (5124 nucleotides) under Sus scrofa (pig). RNAcentral describes it as "lncRNA (ENSSSCG00000061067.1)". Lineage: Eukaryota; Metazoa; Chordata; Mammalia; Artiodactyla; Suidae. The record is from RNAcentral.
UCUAGCCUUCUUUGUAAAUCCCACCAGCCAUCAUUUUUGACGAUGCAACCCAGAAGUCUUGAACUCUUUCAGAGAGGACCCCCGUUCUCUGCGACUUUCAUGUGCUGUUCCCACUGUCCGUAUAAAGAUGGCCAAAGUUUAUAUCUUGUUGGCCCUCUUGCUAAUUUGGUCUGCCCCCAAAUUUAAAUUUAUUUAUUUAUUUUUGUCUUUUUUGUCUUUCUAGGGCCGUACCAGUGGCAUAUGGAGGUUCCCACGCUAGGAGUCGAAUCAGAGCUACAGCUGCUGGCCUACACCACAGCCACAGCAACACCAGAUCCGAGCCACAUCUGCAACCUACACCACAGCUCACGGCCAUGCCAGAUCCCCAACCCACUGAGGCUAGGGAUCGAACCCGCAACCUCACGGUUACUAGUUGGAUUCAUUUCUGCUGUGCCACAAAGGCAACUCCUGCCCCCAAAUUUUAAUUUAUUAAACACACCAACAAUUGAAUGAGUGUAACAUACUUAGAUUAUACCCAGUCAACGCUUGGGUCUAGAAAGGAGGUAGGUGCCAUUUCUUGAAUAGUCAGCUUUCUGCAUGCUUUCUUAAGCCUCUGUUGUGGUUCUUCUGGUGAUGAUUCUAUUUCUCUGCUUCUCUCUCUCUGUCUUUUUUUUUCCUUUGGCCAGGCUCAUGGCAUGUGGAAGUUCCCAGACCAGGGAUUGAACCCAUGCCUCAGUAGUGACCUGAGCUACAGCAGUGACAACACUGCACUGGAUCCUUAACUACUAGGCCACUAGGAAACACCCGUAUUUCUCAUAAUAGGAUUAUUUCCCAUAUUUGAUUUGUGUUUGACACUACAUGAAGUAGUGACUCUUUCUUUUAAUAAUACCCAGUAAACAAACUGUAAAAACCUGAAAGAGUGAUUGGCUUUAGUUGGAGAAAUACUAAGUCCAGACCAUGGCUUCUCAUUGUCUAGACACCUUGCAGAAGUAGUAAGAAGAUCCCAAGAUUUUUGUGGGUAGGGAUUAUUUCUUUCUCACACCCUCUUGGAUGAAAUCCUAAUGAAAGAAUAUUCCAGGAGUUCCCGCUGUGGUGCAGCAGAAACGAAUCUGACUAGGAACCAUGAGGUUGUGGAUUCAAUCCCUGGCCUUGCUCAGUGGGUUAAAGAUCCGGCAUUGCCGUGAGCUGUAGUAUAGGUUGCAGACUCGACUCUGAUCCUGCAUUGCUGUGACUGUGGUGUAGGUUGGCAGCUGUAGCUCUGAUUAGACCCCUAGCCUGGGAACCUCCAAAUGCCAUUGGUGUGGCCCUAAAAAGCAAAAGCAAAACAAUAUUCUAGGAAGAUCAUUUGGGAGAAUAGCUUUUCUGGUGCUUCUCAGAAGGCUAGCCUGAAUUGGAAAAUGAUUUCACUUUUCUCCCAUCUUUCCUUUUCUGCUCUUCAUUUACAAUAAGAACAUGUCUUCCUUUUGCAGCCAAAAAAACCAACUGUCAGCAGUGACAUUGUGUAAGAAACUCUAGGCUUUUUCUUUUUCCUUGUGUUCUCUGAAGAGAAAAUGAUUACACUGUGGCUUGUCAUUGAUUAACUAAAAUCAUGCAACUAUAGAGAGAAAGUGUAGCACAGAAACCAUAGCAACCUCUACAAAAAUGAUUCCCAUAAUGACACGCUUUCAGAGUGUCCAGGCUUCCAGGUGGUAAUUGCUCAUCAUUUUUGCCUGUGUUGCUGGGUCACCCACAUGAGGUUGGUUGGGAAUCACAUGUGACGGCCAUUGUGAAUGAUGAAGAGGGAGCUCACACUGGCCGCUGAGUUGUAGCAAGAGAAAAAAUUUAUUGUUGAUGCACUGAAUUUGAUGUAUUGUUCAAGGAGGAAUUAUCUAGACUCAUGUUACUACAUCAAAAAUCUAUAUGUACCUUGUCUUAGUCUGUGUGGGCUGCUGUAACAAAAUACCUUAGAAUGGGUGACUUCAACAACAAAUAUUUAUUUUUCACAGUUCCAGAGGCUGGGGAGUCCAAGAUCAAGGCACUGGAAAGAUUUGGUGUCUGGUGACGACCUCCUUCUUGCUGUGUCCUCACGUGGAAAAGGGGGUAAGGAAGCUCUCUUGGGGCUCUUUUAAAAGGGCACUAAUCCCAUUCAGACCUCAUCACCUCUGAAAGUCACCACCUCCAAAUCCCGACACAUUGGGGAUGAGGUUUCGACAUAUGAAUUUGGGAGUAAGCAAACAUUCUAUGUACGGCAUACCUGCAACCAUUAAUCCAUCUUUUAAUGUGACUUGAUCAACUGGAAGUUAGUCUCAUUUCAGGCUCUAAAAAGUUGCUUCCAUUUGGUGAACCACAGAUUGCUCGCUCAUCGGAGACUACUCUUCAGGAGUAGUCAAGAGCAAGAAUAUUGAAAUUUGCCGGUGAUAUUUCAACAGUUUAUUUUAUAAAGACAUCUGUUUCACUUGCCAACCAUAAAUUCGAAAGAUGAGAGAUUGUAACUCUAGAAAUGAAAAUUUCGAUAGCAGUGAUAUCACCUGGAAACUCGGGGAAAGGCCAGAAAUUAUAACCUUUCUUUAUUUUUUUUCACCUUUUGCAAUAAUCUUUCUUACUCUUCUGGCAAAAAAAAUUAAUCCCUGUAUUUAUACAUACAAAGCCAGAAGAGUGCAACACUCUUUCAACACUAUUGCUCUGGUAUUUAAGAGUUUGUUGAUAUACAGUUCAGCCAACUAUCAGAGACAAACAUUGAAAAUAUCUUACAGAUUGUUUUAAAUGCAGCCUUGGUAUUGAUUUAGAAGACUCAAAAGCCAUCGGAACUUUUACCGUGCUACUUAAUCUUGCAUUUUAACAUUGUUCUAAAGAAGACAAUUAUUUAUUUAUUCUUUUUCUUAAAAUCAAACGAGCAGAUAACACUGCAUGUCAAGCAUGUGCUAAAUACUUUGGUGGGCAGAGGGACAACUAAGGUAAAAAUUACCUUUCUUCAAGAAGCCUACAGUCUAGAAAUCCUCAAGUUCCUUCUGGGAGAGAAAUCAGUGGCUGUCUAAAGAUUAUAGGGCAUUUACAGAAGGAGGCUGGCUACAAACUGAAAUGGGUCUAGACACCUUACUUGUGUUUUCUGAAGCUCUUCUUUUUUAUAGGCUGCUCAAGGCUUAUGUGCUGACCCUGUAUAGAGCUACUCUAACACCAGGGGAAAAUAAUAAGCUCCCAUUUGGUUAAGAAAAACAUGCCUUGAUCUAAGGUUUCCAUAAGCUGUGGUUAGAUUGGAAAGAAUGAGGCUUUGGGUCAGGAUUAGAUGAGGAUACAGAGGUAAGAAAAUAAGGAGAGAUUGUAAAGAUACAUCAUAACUUUUAGAAACCAUGAAUUUGGGUCAUUUCCGUGUAAUUUGUAUUUAUCUAUGUUUCCAUACGUUCAAGUCAUCUUCCUCAGUGAGACUUUACUUUCUGGGUAGACAAACUGUAUCUUAACACUCCUUUUCUAAAUCCCAUAGUACAUCAGGGAGCUUCAUAAAUAUUUAUUGACUUGACUCCCAUAAUUUAAAUUAUAAUGUAAAUGAAUGGAACAAUCAGAAACAUAUUGAGUGCAACCUAUGACUUCAGAAGUUUGUCAUAACUUACUCUUUUGAGAUUUUAUAUCAGCUUCAAGCUUGAAGUUGGGUUUUAGUCAUCACUUAAUUCCACUUUGGGGUUAUGUAAGGCUAUUUCUUGAAGCUAAAUAUAAUGAUGAAUACAUAAGUUUGCAUUUCACAAUCUCCUUUUAAAGAACUCAUUUAGCUUAUCUCUCAGAAACAGGUUUGAUUAAUUUAAAAUAUGCCCUUGGAUAUUGACUUUUCAGAAUGAAAGUCUGGUGCAGCUCAUAAGCUGUGUACUGAUUAGAGAAAAAUCAAAAACAAACUGCAGUCAGCAGAAUCCCUGCCACUUUCCAAGGCCUUGACCUCUAAUGCCUUGCAGUUAAUGCCUAAUUCUUUAUCAUCGUUAAUUGUUUUUAACAUGAUCAGUAAAGUGUGCAGGAUGGUCAAAAGGAGAUACAUUUAUAAGUUGUUAUAUGAAAGGUUUUUCUGCAAACAAAUAUAUCAUGAGGCAAGAAUGCAUGUAGGGAAUCACAUAGCUAAUCUUUUCCUUUGAGGUAAGCAGUCUUGGUUGGGGAUGGAGGGAUAAAGUGUUUAGUUAAUACUCACUGGCUGGCAGAUUAUUAUGGUUGAAGUCAUAACAGGGAUGAUUUUGCUUAUAUAAGUAAAUGUAUUAUCUGUACUACUAGAGGCAAAAAGGCAUGGAAAAUGAAAAAAUUACUGUCAAGUUAUGUUGAAAUGCAACUAGAUCUAUAGAGAGGAUUUUGAAAGAGAUGAUGAGUCAGACUUUAUUUAAAGGGCCUUUUGCAUGGGUUUACUUCAUGACGGUGAAAAAUACUUUUUUCCAUAUCUACCCUGUCUGUAAUGUGCAAAGAACUGAUUUGGUAGUUGCUCUUUCUUGGGCCUUAUGGGUAUAACAGAAGUCUGAAUAGCAAUUCCAAAUUAUUUAGCUCACGUACCUACCAUUUUUGUUUACCUGACUGGACAUUUCAUCAACCGGACCCUGCUCUCCAGAGAGCAAGUGUUAGAGUCUAAAUCAGUCCAUCUAUACUGGUUUAAAACAUGGAUGAAUGUCAACCCAGUCUGGACUUUAUUCCUGGCUCUGCCACCUGCUUGCUUUGCGUCAUCGUACAAGUUACUUAACCUCUACAAAGUCAAGAGUAAGCACUUAGUAAGUGGUAGUUAUUGCAUGAUUUUAUUUUUUUUAGUGAUUUUUAUUUUUUCCAUUAUAGCUGGUGUAUUGCAUGAUUUUAUUAACGUGGUGAAAUGUUGAAGUUUUAGUAUGGUGUGGAGGUGUUGAGAGGAUGGGGUGGUGAAGCAGGGAAAAGGAGGGAGGUCUUGCUCUAGGUAAGAGGUAUUGUGGUUUAGUGUGAUAGUUCUUAAAUAGCAGUCCCUGGUUCCGUUACAUCAGAGACACUUGAAGAUUUUUUUUUUAAUGUAGAUUUCCUGUGCCUUCACUCUUUCCGCAGAACUGCUUUCUCCACCCACCAACUUACAAAUGGAAAAAACGAUAUCCCAGCUUCGAUCUUUUGUCAUUUUUCAAUAUUAGUUUUUAUUAUUAUUUAACCAGUUGGGAUUUAAAAAAAAUGUUUGCAGAUAUAACUCCAGGG